UUACGCACUCCUACGGGAGGCAGCAGUGGGGAAUAUUGCACAAUGGGCGCAAGCCUGAUGCAGCCAUGCCGCGUGUAUGAAGAAGGCCUUCGGGUUGUAAAGUACUUUCAGCAGUGAGGAAGGUGGGUAUGUUAAUAGCAUACUCAUUUGACGUUAGCUGCAGAAGAAGCACCGGCUAACUCCGUGCCAGCAGCCGCGGUAAUACGGAGGGUGCGAGCGUUAAUCGGAAUUACUGGGCGUAAAGCGCAUGCAGGUGGUUUGUUAAGUCAGAUGUGAAAGCCCGGGGCUCAACCUCGGAAUUGCAUUUGAAACUGGCAAACUAGAGUACUGUAGAGGGGGUAGAAUUUCAGGUGUAGCGGUGAAAUGCGUAGAGAUCUGAAGGAAUACCGGUGGCGAAGGCGGCCCCCUGGACAGAUACUGACACUCAGAUGCGAAAGCGUGGGGAGCAAACAGGAUUAGAUACCCUGGUAG
This 471-nucleotide ribosomal RNA is filed under the name uncultured bacterium. RNAcentral's name for it is "bacterial SSU rRNA". It matches the Rfam family "Bacterial small subunit ribosomal RNA", at positions 329 to 793 of the family's 1533-position model. The record is from RNAcentral.